Molecule: ribosomal RNA, 637 nt
Filed under: uncultured bacterium
Lineage: Bacteria
Description: bacterial SSU rRNA
Rfam family: Bacterial small subunit ribosomal RNA
Source: RNAcentral
UAAAGAUUCAUCGCUGAUAGAUAGGCAUGCGUUCCAUUAGGCAGUUGGCGGGGUAACGGCCCACCAAACCGACGAUGGAUAGGGGUUCUGAGAGGAAGGUCCCCCACAUUGGUACUGAGACACGGACCAAACUCCUACGGGAGGCAGCAGUGAGGAAUAUUGGUCAAUGGGCGUAAGCCUGAACCAGCCAAGUCGCGUGAGGGAUGAAGGUUCUAUGGAUCGUAAACCUCUUUUAUAAGGGAAUAAAGUGCGGGACGUGUCCCGUUUUGUAUGUACCUUAUGGGUAAGGAUCGGCUAACUCCGUGCCAGCAGCCGCGGUAAUACGGAGGAUCCGAGCGUUAUCCGGAUUUAUUGGGUUUAAAGGGUGCGUAGGCGGCCUUUUAAGUCAGCUGUGAAAGUCUGUGGCUCAACCAUAGAAUUGCCGUUGAAACUGGGAGGCUUGAGUAUGUUUGAGGCAGGCGGAAUGCGUGGUGUAGCGGUGAAAUGCUUAGAUACCACGCAGAACCCCGAUUGCGAAGGCAGCCUGCCAAGCCAUGACUGACGCUGAUGCACGAAAGCGUGGGGAUCAAACAGGAUUAGAUACCCUGGUAGUCCACGCAGUAAACGAUGAUCACUAGCUGUUUGCGAUACACAGUAA